GCACCGGUAGCAAUCAUACGAGUAGGAGACAAAAUGAGUCUUGAGAGCCAAUUAGGGUUUUGAGGAGGCGAAUUGGGCAGGAAUCGAGGAGGCCGCUCGUAGGGAGUCCUGGGAGCAACGGUUCGCCUAGCUCGGACUAUUUUGCCCCCGGAUCGGAGCUCGGCGGCCCGUUGAGUUCUGGAAAUGGAGGCCAUGUGGGUGACAAGAAGGAAUAAUUAGAUUUGAUCCACUCGAGUUUUUGUAGCUGUUAGUGUGAUAUCGGUUAG
Molecule: unclassified non-coding RNA, 266 nt
Filed under: Hevea brasiliensis (rubber tree)
Lineage: Eukaryota; Viridiplantae; Streptophyta; Magnoliopsida; Malpighiales; Euphorbiaceae
Source: RNAcentral